CCAAAAAAGCGUGAUGGGGUAACUUGACAAAUUCCUGGAGCCCGUGAAAAGGGAGAUGGCGUCCGUACCGAGAACCGACACAGGUGCCCCUCGCUGAGAAGGCGAAGGCGUGUCGGAGUGAAUUGUGUUAAGGGAACUCGGCAAAUUAGCCCCGUAACUUCGGGAGAAGGGGUGCCUGCCUGGAGAUCGGGCAGGUCGCAGUGACCAGGGAGCUCUAACUGUCUAAUAACAACAUAGGUGACUGCAACUCGGAAACGACUAGUAUAGUCACUGAUUCCUGCCCAGUGCGAGUAUCUGAAUACCGGGUUCAACCGGACGAAGGACUCGUAAACGGCGGGGGUAACGAUGACCCUCUUAAGGUAGCGUAGUACCUUGUCGCUUAAUUGGCGACUUGCAUGAAUGGAUUAAUGAGAGCUCUACUGUCCCUAACACAAGCCCGUUGAACCUUUUGUCCUAGUGCAGAGACUAGGGACUCCUAUUGGGAAGUGAAGACCCCGUGGAGCUUUACUGCAGCCUGUCGCUGAAUUACGGUAUUACAUGCGCAGUGUAGAUGGGAGGCGUUAUAUCCGUUUCUUUCGGGAAACGGGGAGCCAACAAUGAGACACCAUCCUUGUUUUACUGUAGUUCUCACUCCAACGAGGACAACGAUAGGUGGGCAGUUUGGGUGGGGCGCCACACCCUCGAAAAAAUAUCAAGGGUGCCCUAAGGUCAACUCAUGUGAGUCAGAAACUCUCAGAAGAGUGUCAAGAGCAAAAGUUGGCCUGACGCGAUUGCGCUUAGCAAGCAAUCGCGAGGGGAAACUCGGGUCUAACGAACCAAUACGCCCUGUUGGUGAGGGCUAUUGACGACAGAAAAGCUACCCCGGGGAUAACAGAGUCGUCGCCGGCAAGAGCACAUAUCGACCCGGCGGCUUGCUACCUCGAUGUCGGUUCUUUCCAUCCUGGCUGUGCAGCAGCAGCCAAGGGUGAGGUUGUUCGCCUAUUAAAGGGGAUCGUGAGCUGGGUUUAGACCGUCGUGAGACAGGUCGGUUACUAUCUAAUAGGAGUGUCAGGAGUCUGAGGGUAAGAAUGGAAUAGUACGAGAGGAACUUCCAUUCGGCGCCACUAGUCGAUCGGUUGUCUGACAAGGCAAUGCCGAGCAGCCACGCGCCAAGGGAUAAGAGCUGAAAGCAUCUAAGCUUGAAACCCGGCCUAAAAAGAGACUCCGUUGAGGACAUGGGUAAAAGACCCGUUUGAUAGGCCUGGGAUGUACGCACGAAGGCAACGACGUGUUCAGUCCGCAGGUACUAACGUCCAAAUCC
This 1300-nucleotide ribosomal RNA is filed under the name metagenome. RNAcentral's name for it is "bacterial LSU rRNA". It matches the Rfam family "Archaeal large subunit ribosomal RNA", at positions 1650 to 2987 of the family's 2987-position model. The record is from RNAcentral.